This 467-nucleotide ribosomal RNA is filed under the name uncultured bacterium. RNAcentral's name for it is "partial 16S ribosomal RNA". It matches the Rfam family "Bacterial small subunit ribosomal RNA", at positions 28 to 506 of the family's 1533-position model. The record is from RNAcentral.
GAUGAACGCUGGCGGCGUGCUUAACACAUGCAAGUCGAACGGAAAGGCCCAAGCUUUCUUGGGUACUCGAUUGGCGAACGGGUGAGUAACACGUGGGUGAUCUGCCCUGCACUUCGUGAUAAGCCUUGGAAACUGGGUCUAAUACCGGAUAUGACGAUUUGUUGGAUGCCAUUGUGUAAAGUUUUUUCGGUGUGGGAUGAGCUCGCGGCCUAUCAGCUUGUUGGUGGGGUAAUGGCCUACCAAGGCGUGGACGGGUAGCCGGCCUGAGAGGGUGUACGGCCACACUGGGACCGAGGUAAGGCACAGACUCCUACGGGAGGCAGAAGGGGGGAAGAUUGAACAAUGGGCGCAAGCCUGAUGCAGAGACGCCGCGGGGGGGAUGACGGCCUUAGGGUUGUAAAACCCUUUCGCUAGGGACGAAGCGUUUUUGGGCCGGUACCUGGAGAAGAAGCACCGGCUAACUACGU